RNAcentral lists this long non-coding RNA (274 nucleotides) under Lathyrus oleraceus (garden pea). RNAcentral's name for it is "Pisum sativum (pea) long non-coding RNA (PSAT_LNC038274)". The record is from RNAcentral. Lineage: Eukaryota; Viridiplantae; Streptophyta; Magnoliopsida; Fabales; Fabaceae.
AAUUAUUUAGAAUUUUAGUUAAUUUUAAAUGAUUAAAAUAAAAAGAAAAUAGUGAAUUCAUGAGAUUUUGGUGGAAAUUAGGAUUGGAAAAAUAAGGGAAUGCUGUGAAAAUAAGAAUAAGUUGGGGGAAGAGCGAAUUGGAUGAAAUUAGGAGAUAUAGAAAAUUGUGAGAAUAGGAAAAACAAGGGUUUGAGAGAGGAGGAAGUCAUAACCAAAGCCUGUUCUUGCUGAAAAUUAAGGUAAGGGGAAACUUUUCUAAUUUAAGUGUUAUUGC